RNAcentral lists this ribosomal RNA (400 nucleotides) under uncultured bacterium. Its description in RNAcentral is "bacterial SSU rRNA". It matches the Rfam family "Bacterial small subunit ribosomal RNA", at positions 355 to 770 of the family's 1533-position model. The record is from RNAcentral.
CAAGGAAUCUUCCGCAAUGGGGGCAACCCUGACGGAGCAACGCCGCGUGGGGGAUGAGGCCCUUCGGGGUGUAAACCCCUUUUCUUCGGGAUGAAGCACUGACAGUACCGGAGGAAGAAGGACCGGCUAACUACGUGCCAGCAGCCGCGGUAAUACGUAGGGUCCGAGCGUUGUCCGGAGUUACUGGGCGUAAAGGGCGCGCAGGUGGCGGUGCUGGCCCGGCGUGAAAGCCCCCGGCUCAACCGGGGAGGGUCGUCGGGGACCGCACCGCUUGAGGGCGGUAGGGGCUGGUGGAAUGCCUGGUGUAGUGGUGAAAUGCGUAGAGAUCAGGCGGAACACCCGUAGCGAAGGCGGCCAGCUGGGCCGACCCUGACACUGAGGCGCGAAGGCGUGGGGAGCG